RNAcentral lists this ribosomal RNA (492 nucleotides) under uncultured bacterium. RNAcentral describes it as "partial 16S ribosomal RNA". It matches the Rfam family "Bacterial small subunit ribosomal RNA", at positions 29 to 507 of the family's 1533-position model. The record is from RNAcentral.
AGUGAACGCUGGCGGUAGGCCUAACACAUGCAAGUCGAACGGCAGCACAGUAAGAUCUUGCUCUUACGGGUGGCGAGUGGCGGACGGGUGAGGAAUACAUCGGAAUCUACUUUUUCGUGGGUGAUAACGUAGGGAAACUUAUGCUAAUACCGCAUACGUCCUACGGGUGAAAGCAGGGGAUCUUCGCACCUUGCGUGACUCAAUUAGCUGAUGUCGGAUUAGCUAGUUGGCUGGGUAAAGGCCCACCAAGGCGACGAUCCGUAGCUGGUCUGAGAGGAUGAUCGGCCACACUGGAACUGAGACACGGUCCAGACUCCUACGGGAGGCAGCAGUAGGGAAUAUUGCACAAUGGGCGAAAGCCUGAUCGAGCAAUACCGCGUGAGUGAAGAAGGCCUUCGGGUUGUAAAGCCCUGUUGUUGGGAAAGAAAAGCAGCAGGUUAAAACCCCGCUGUUCUGACGGUACCCAAUGAGUAAGCAACGGCUAACUUCGUG